This 773-nucleotide long non-coding RNA is filed under the name Lynx pardinus (Iberian lynx). The record is from RNAcentral. Lineage: Eukaryota; Metazoa; Chordata; Mammalia; Carnivora; Felidae.
UGCAGAAACCAAUGGGAUAGGAUUCAAAACUAGGUGAGAAACUUGUGAGAAAUCCAACCUGGUUAUAUGUCUGAGAGGCUGCUACUGUAUCAGCAUCACAAGAUAAAGCACUCUGGUAUCACCUUGCCCAUGUCCUCCUUAGUGUCACCCAAGACAUUUGACUCUGAUACGGUAACCGAUAACUUUUCUUGCUCCACUUUGCAAUGUUUCGUUUCCUACUUCUUAUUACCUUGGGACACAAAAGUGGCAGAGUUGUUGAGAGCUGAUGACCAGAAAAGGGAGAACACUAGAGGAAAUCAGAGACAGUCAGGAAAGAACGCCAAAGCUGAUUUUCCAACUCUAUGCUAACUCCAACCUGCAGAAAGAGCUGAAUAUAGAAAUCUUCUUCAUUAUCUGAUGAAGUCACUCCGUUUAUCACACACACACACAAAUGAAUCACCUGGCUUUUUUUUUUUUUCUUUUUUAAUCCAGAAGAGUUGUGCUGGGGACCGUGCCCCGUCCUGCUGAUACAGAUCCUGAAUGGAAUCAUCAGGAAUGGCACAGUGCAGGUGUCAAAAUCAAAGUAAGGCCGCAGAAUUUUGAGAGGACCCUCCAAAUACUGAGAACUUGUGUUGCACUUCAUGUGGUCUCCUGGAUUUCUAUAUUUAUGAGAAGGGCUUCUUAUUGAUGUCCCCCAGAAUCCAGACUCAGACCUAUUCCUCCAAAAAGGUCCAAUUUUGUUGCUACAUAGUAGCAAGGGUUUAUCUUCAUGCCCACCUAGCAUUCCAGGCCCC